CCUACGGGUGGCAGCAGUGGGGAAUAUUGCACAAUGGGGGAAACCCUGAUGCAGCGACGCCGCGUGAGUGAAGAAGUAUUUCGGUAUGUAAAGCUCUAUCAGCAGGGAAGAAAAUGACGGUACGUGAUUAAGAAGCGCCUGCUAAUUACGUGCCAGCAGCUGCGGUAAUACGAAGGGGGCACGCGUUAUCCGGAUUUACUGGGUGGAAAGGGAGCGGAGAUGGCAGCACUUGUCUGGGGUGAAAUGGCGGUGCUUAACCCCGGAACUGCUUUGGAAACUGUGCGGCUAGAGUGCAGGAGAGGUAAGUGGAAUUCCAGGUGUAGCGGUAAAAUGCGUAGAUAUUAGGAAGAACACCAGUGGCGAAGGCGGCUUACUGGACUGUAACUGACGUUGAGGCACGAAAGCGUGGGGAGCAAACAGGAUUAGAUACCCCGGUAGUC
This 440-nucleotide ribosomal RNA is filed under the name uncultured bacterium. Its description in RNAcentral is "partial 16S ribosomal RNA". It matches the Rfam family "Bacterial small subunit ribosomal RNA", at positions 338 to 795 of the family's 1533-position model. The record is from RNAcentral.